This 519-nucleotide ribosomal RNA is filed under the name Lysiphlebus fabarum. RNAcentral describes it as "partial 28S ribosomal RNA". The record is from RNAcentral. Lineage: Eukaryota; Metazoa; Arthropoda; Insecta; Hymenoptera; Braconidae.
CCCAAUUCGGGGGUAACCUUAGAGAACCAAAAGAUCGAAUGGGGGAGAUUCAUCGUCAAUAUGUUUAAUAUUAAUAUAUAUUAUGAUAUGUUAAAUUUUUUUAAUUUUAUAUUAUUAAAUUUUUUCAUACAUAUAUAUAUUAUUUUAUUGUUUUACAUUGUCGGCGUGCACUUCUCCCCUAGUAGGACAUCGCGACCCGUUAGAUGUUGGUUUACGACCAAAUUGGGUAGCCUUUAUAUUAUUUUAUUAUAAUUAAAGACCAAUUUGUGUUUUCUAACCAAGUAUUUGACGGUAAACGUAUGGUAUUAAGUCGCAUUUUAAUAUAUUUAUGCGUUCUCUACCCGUCGCAAGCGAGGCCUUUUUUGUUAGUUUACAGACUUUGUGCUGUCUAAUAAAAAUUUGGUCAGCUGUUGGCUGUUUACGGUGUUCUAGAACUGACUUAUUUAAAAAAAAUACCUGUCGGCGAUGCUAUUGCUUUGGGUACUUUCAGGACCCGUCUGACACCGGGAAACCAAAAAA